UUUUAUAAUAAUAAUACCAUAACUACAUAAUUAAAAAUGGAAGUAACGAUAAAAAAUGCAUUUUAUCUAAGCAUAAAAUAUUCAAUUCACCCAUAUGUCGCUGUUUACACUAUUUUUUGUGAAGUAGUUCAGCAAAAUAGUUAUAAAAUAGCGAAUUAUUUAUUACAGAAACCAAUUCUUACAAUUUUCAUAUCUAUGGUUGUCGUGAUAUUUAUAAGUAUAGCGUUAACAGUAUCUCUUAUUUUCAUGGCUGUUAUAACUUGUCUGGUGAUCUUUUUUAUUAUGGUUGAAAGUGUUUUUACUUUAAUCAGCGUUUUUUUGUUGGCCAAUUUUCUAGUUAUAGCAGUAUUAUUAUUAUUGAUAACACAUUUAAUAAGAAUAAAAUCGUAGAUAAAAUAAUAGCGACAAUGUAUUUAUACUUAAGGAGAGCUAAUUUUUAAUUUUGUUAAGCAAAUAAAAUUAUUGUAAUUAGUUUUCAUUGUAUUAUGAUCAGCAAAUUUAUAUAACAU
Molecule: long non-coding RNA, 509 nt
Organism: Vanessa tameamea
Lineage: Eukaryota; Metazoa; Arthropoda; Insecta; Lepidoptera; Nymphalidae
Exons: 3
Source: RefSeq, a predicted model, not a curated record